This 163-nucleotide small nuclear RNA is filed under the name Vulpes vulpes (red fox). RNAcentral's name for it is "U1 spliceosomal RNA (ENSVVUG00000003409.1)". It matches the Rfam family "U1 spliceosomal RNA". From Rfam's summary of the family: U1 is a small nuclear RNA (snRNA) component of the spliceosome (involved in pre-mRNA splicing). Its 5' end forms complementary base pairs with the 5' splice junction, thus defining the 5' donor site of an intron. The record is from Rfam by way of RNAcentral. Lineage: Eukaryota; Metazoa; Chordata; Mammalia; Carnivora; Canidae.
AUACUUACCUGGCAGGGGAGAUACCAUGAUCACGAAGGUGGUUUUCCCAGGGCGAGGCUUAUCCAUUGCACUCUGGACAUGCUGACCCCUGCGAUUUCCCCAAAUGUGGGAAACUCGACUGCAUAAUUUAUGGUAGUGGGGACUGCAUUCGCGCUCUCCCCUG